Molecule: ribosomal RNA, 468 nt
Filed under: uncultured bacterium
Lineage: Bacteria
Description: partial 16S ribosomal RNA
Rfam family: Bacterial small subunit ribosomal RNA
Source: RNAcentral
GACGAACGCUGGCGGCGUGCUUAACACAUGCAAGUCGAACGGAAAGGCCCUGCUUUUGCGGGGUGCUCGAUUGGCGAACGGGGGAGUAACACGUGAGUAACCUGCCCUUGACUUUGGGGUAACUUCAGGAAACUGGGGCUAAUAUCGGAUAGGAGAUCCUGCUGCAUGGUGGUGGUUGGAAAGAGUCGGCGGUUGGGGAUGGACUAGCGGGUUAUCAGCUUGUUGGUGGGGUAGUGGCUUACCAAGGGUUUGACGGGUAGCCGGCCUGAGAGGGUGACCGGCCACAAUGGGACUGCGAUACGGCCCAGACUCCUACGGGAGGCAGCAGUGGGGAAUCUUGCACAAUGGGCGGAAGCCUGAUGCAGCAACGCCGCGUGCGGGAUGACGGCUUUCGGGUUGUAAACCGCUUUCGACUGUGACGAAGCGUGAGUGACGGUAAUGAGUAAAGAAGCACCGGCUAACUACGUG